GUUGCUUCAACUACUACAACUAGUACCACAACUACUACAUCUACAGCUGCUAAACCUGUCUCUACUUCUGCUACUGCUACUACUGUCACUACUAUUUGUAAGUAUUUAUCACUACUGGUACUGCUACUACUCCCAAUACUAUCAGCAGCACUGGUAUUACCACUACACGUCCUUCUACUACUAAAUCUACCACUACUAUUACUACAAGAACUUCAUCUUGUACUUGUAAUACUUGAGCUACUGUCUGUCAGCAUCGACCUUCAGAACCACAUCAGUCCAAACAUGAGGACGAUACAAGUCUAUUAAAGGAUCAGACACACAGCUGCUGACGUGGAGUUGAUCCAUGUCCAUUUCAGCUGAAGGUCUCACAUUGCUGACAUUCAACAGAUAAUGAAAUCACACACACACACACACACACACACACACACACACAGUGGGGGUGGGGGUCUUAUUCAUUCUUUCCACAGAGUGUAGUCGACCUGUGAACUGACAGAAAGUGAUGAAAAACAACCGUUAAACCACUUCCUCUUUCUGUCUCUGAUCGUAUCUGUUGUUUUUCAGAGCUGCUGUUCUUCAAACUCUUCAACAUUCAAUCACAGAACACUGUUAUUUCAGGAUUCCUUCACAUCAGUGUCUAGUUUUAAGUUUCAUUAACAAUCUUCAUCUGUUUUUUCCUUCAGGAACUACAGCUCCCAUGAGCCUUGGAUGUCUUAUUGAUGAUGAUGAAGUCCCUCCCUCCCUGACUCCAGUUUAUCUUCCGACCAAUCAGAGCUGACAGUUUGUCCUCGGAGCAGAAGCACAGGACGUGGUUGGAGGGGAGGAGUGAAGUAGACUGGAAAAAACGCUGCAUUAUGAAGGAGGAAACCUUAUAAGGACUCAAACUUCAACCAGUAAACCAUGAGCUGAAGUCUCCCAGGUGUGACUGCUUCAUCCAUGAUCGGAGAGAUGUCGCCCAUUAUUCGCAGAGGCAUGUGCGAAAGUCAGCAGUGAUUGGGGUCCCCGAAUACAAAGCACCACCUGUGUUCAAAGAAACAUUGUCGAUGAUCACAGAGAUGUCAUCCAUGAUCACAGAGAUUCUUCGUACAAUGAAGAAGUUCUUUGAGACCAGGACAGAGACCUCUGGAUAAUUCACCACAGCUUUACAUCAACUGCCCAACACAAAGCACUGACAUUAAACUGUUCAUGUUCAGUAUUAGGUAUAUCAGGAAAGUGUAAUAAUAAUAAUAGAAUAAUAAUAGUAAUCUGCAUUAUAAAAAUAAUGUAAUGAAGUACUGUAUGUAUAAGUAUUUACAACAUCAGAAAUAAGAUGUAAUAGUCAAAAAUGGCAUCAAAAGCCAUGAAAAAAUAUAAAAAAAGAUGUCAUAGUAUAGUUAGAUGUCAAAAAUCAUCAAAAAACGUCAUAGUAUAAUAAGGUGUCAAAAAUGUCAUAAAAAUGUCAUAGUAUAGUAAGGCGUCAAAAACCAAUAAAAACGUCAUAGUAUAGUAAGGCGUCAAAAACCAAUAAAAAACGUCAUAGUAUAGUAAGGUGUCAAAAAUGUCAUAAAAAUGUCAUAGAAGAGUAAGGUGUCAAAAAUGUCAUAAAAAUGUCAUAGUAUAGUAAGGCAUCAAAAAUGGCCAAAAAACGUCAUAGUAUAGUAAGGUGUCAAAAAUGUCAUAAAAAUGUCAUAGUAUAGUAAGGCAUCAAAAAUGGCCAAAAAACGUCAUAGUAUAGUAAGGCGUCAAAAACCAAUAAAAAACGUCAUAGUAUAGUAAGGCGUCAAAAAAUGUCAUAGUAUAGUAAGGUGUCAAAAAUGGUCAAAAAAUGUCAUAAUAUAGUAAGGCGUCAAAAAUGUCAGAAAAAUGUCAUAGUAUAGUAAGGCGUCAAAAUCCAUGAAAAAAGGUCACAAUAUAGUAAGGUGUCAAAUAUUGUCAAAAAUAGUAUAAGUAUAGUAACUUGUCGAAAAUGUCAGAAAAAUGUCAUACUAUAGUAAAGAUGUCAAAAACCAUCAAAAAAUGUCAUCGUAUAAUAAAGACGUCAAAAACCAAUAAAAAACGUCAUAGUAUAGUAAGGCGUCAAAAAUGGCCAAAAAAUGUCAUAGUAUAGUAAAGACGUCAAAAACCAUGAAAAAACGUCAUAGUACAGUAAGGUGUCAAAAAUGGUCAAAAAAUGUCAUAAUAUAGUAAGGCGUCAAAAAUGGCCAAAAAAUGUCAUAGUAUAGUAAGGCGUCAAAAACCAAUAAAAAACGUCAUAGUAUAGUAAGGCAUCAAAAACCAAUAAAAACGUCAUAGUAUAGUAAGGUGUCAAAAAUGUCAUAAAAAUGUCAUAGUAUAGUAAGGCAUCAAAAAUGGCCAAAAAACGUCAUAGUAUAGUAAGGCGUCAAAAACCAAUAAAAAACGUCAUAGUAUAGUAAGGCGUCAAAAAAUGUCAUAGUAUAGUAAGGUGUCAAAAAUGGUCAAAAAAUGUCAUAAUAUAGUAAGGCGUCAAAAAUGUCAGAAAAAUGUCAUAGUAUAGUAAGGCGUCAAAAUCCAUGAAAAAAGGUCACAAUAUAGUAAGGUGUCAAAUAUUGUCAAAAAUAGUAUAAGUAUAGUAACUUGUCGAAAAUGUCAGAAAAAUGUCAUACUAUAGUAAAGAUGUCAAAAACCAUCAAAAAAUGUCAUCGUAUAAUAAAGACGUCAAAAACCAAUAAAAAACGUCAUAGUAUAGUAAGGCGUCAAAAAUGGCCAAAAAAUGUCAUAGUAUAGUAAAGACGUCAAAAACCAUGAAAAAACGUCAUAGUACAGUAAGGUGUCAAAAAUGGUCAAAAAAUGUCAUAAUAUAGUAAGGCGUCAAAAAUGGCCAAAAAAUGUCAUAGUAUAGUAAGGCGUCAAAAACCAAUAAAAAACGUCAUAGUAUAGUAAGGCAUCAAAAACCAAUAAAAACGUCAUAGUAUAGUAAGGUGUCAAAAAUGUCAGAAAAAUGUCAUAGAAGAGUAAGGUGUCAAAAAUGUCAUAAAAAUGUCAUAGUAUAGUAAGGCGUCAAAAACCAAUAAAAACGUCAUAGUAUAGUAAGGCGUCAAAAACCAAUAAAAAACGUCAUAGUAUAGUAAGGCGUCAAAAAAUGUCAUAGUAUAGUAAGGCGUCAAAAAUGGUCAAAAAAUGUCAUAAUAUAGUAAGGCGUCAAAAAUGUCAGAAAAAUGUCAUAGUAUAGUAAGGCGUCAAAAUCCAUGAAAAAAGGUCACAAUAUAGUAAGGCGUCAAAAAUGGUCAAAAAAUGUCAUAAUAUAGUAAGGCGUCAAAAAAUGUCAUAGUAUAGUAAGGUGU
Molecule: long non-coding RNA, 3278 nt
Organism: Lates calcarifer (barramundi perch)
Lineage: Eukaryota; Metazoa; Chordata; Actinopteri; Centropomidae
Exons: 5
Source: RefSeq, a predicted model, not a curated record